AACAUUAUAGGCUGGAAGUGCAUGGGACUCGGGAAUGGCCCAGUAGUUCGCUCUCUUCUCGAGCUGGGACGAGUGGAGGAGCCUGACAUUUUGUUUUUAUCGGAAACAAGGAUGACGGAGAAGGAGUUAGACAGUUUCAGGUGGAAGUUGGGGCUAGCCAACAUGUCGGCGUGGAGUUCAGUGGAAAGGAGUAGAGGUGUCAUGGAAUUGUCACGGCAGAUGAACUAG
Molecule: ribosomal RNA, 228 nt
Filed under: Triticum aestivum (bread wheat)
Lineage: Eukaryota; Viridiplantae; Streptophyta; Magnoliopsida; Poales; Poaceae
Description: partial small subunit ribosomal RNA
Source: RNAcentral